ACUAAGAUCCGUGUAGCUAAUCUC
Molecule: microRNA, 24 nt
Filed under: Amborella trichopoda
Lineage: Eukaryota; Viridiplantae; Streptophyta; Magnoliopsida; Amborellales; Amborellaceae
Description: atr-miR8609
Source: miRBase by way of RNAcentral